CACCGCGGUUAUACGAUAUGCCCAAAUUGACAGCCUUCGGCAAAAAGCGUGGUUAAUUAGCACCAAAACUAAAGUCGAACCCAUCCCAGGCUGUUAAAAGCCUACUAAAUGGGGAAGCCCAACAACGAAGGUGACUUUAAAAUCAAUGAAUCCACGAAAGCUAUGAAA
This 168-nucleotide ribosomal RNA is filed under the name Trimma okinawae (Okinawa rubble goby). RNAcentral's name for it is "partial 12S rRNA". The record is from RNAcentral. Lineage: Eukaryota; Metazoa; Chordata; Actinopteri; Gobiiformes; Gobiidae.